GGCCACCUGCAACUUUUCCCAACUUUACGUGUUUUGAAGGCUAAUUGAAUUGUUCAAUUGCAAUCUUAGGGUAACCAAUAGACGUGAGCGUUUACCUUCUUCUUCCAUCAAUCAUUUCUCAUCCAAUGAAUUUACAAACAUUCCAAUCCGCGUGGUUCCCCCAUCCUUACCUCGGAACUUCUAACGAAUCUUGGGAAAAACACAUUUUACGCAGAUUUGCUCGUCCGCCGUCAACCGCACAUAACCGAACUAAAUGUUUGUCGAAUAUAAAACAACAUCUCAGAAACUAUAUAGCGGUAUCAAUGUUUUAUUGAAUUUCUACAUUCUUUAUGUCUUUUCCCUCUGUGCUUUAUAUUUCAUGCGUCGAAGUCUCCGAAUGCUGCGAAACGUGCGGAGAAUGUUUCGGUGAGAAAAUAUUACUUCUACAUCGAAUGUGACAACAGUCGACAUCGAAUAUCAUCUGUAACACAUUCCAAAAGAAGACAAUCUCCUUCAUAAAGAAUGAAUUUGAAAAGUUGGUAAUCAUUUCCCAAAAUAUUAUGCCAGCGCCAUUUUAAGAAGCAUGAAUGUCUGUGACCAUAUAAACCAUAUAAACCAUAUAAAAAUACGAAUAGAUGAAGAAGUAUAAUGUAUCCGAACAACCCACAUCUUUAUUACAAAAUAAAAGGGAAAGGGAAGAUGUACAAGAAAGACAGCACGUUAUCGAAAAACAGUUGAUCAGAAAAGGAGGGCAAGAGCAAAAAGAACGACAUCAAUGCUACUACUAUCACUACCAACAGUAGCAAGAAGCGGUUGACGGUGGAGUAAAAUAAGAAGACGAAAUUGAAUUAUUUGUACCAAUUGCUAGACUAUACAAGAGUAACAUCAUGAUUCGCUGACAACGAGGAUUCAAUUGAAUGGCCAACAAUUGAAUCACGGACAAGCUGCGACUUUUAAAUUGAGGAAAGCCUAGGGAGGACUUUCCGAGAAAUAGAAUUGCAAGAUGAACAUGCUCAGCUGUUGAAAGAAAAUAAAAAUUUGGAAGCACGAAUAAAAUAUGUCAAAUAAAAUCUGAAAAGAAUCGAAAUGUCCAGAAAUCUAUUGCGUGUAAAGUUGAAGGCAUUGUAUGCCUUGAGGUGGAAUCAUUUAUGUAAGGUCAAAAUACAUGCUCAAGUUCGGAAAAGAAAAAGUUGCAAAAAGAUGGACCAAGAGACAGAAACAAAAAAAUAUA
This is a long non-coding RNA of Bombus terrestris (buff-tailed bumblebee), 1210 nucleotides long. RefSeq lists it as uncharacterized. The record is from RefSeq and is a predicted model, not a curated record. The transcript is spliced from 2 exons. Lineage: Eukaryota; Metazoa; Arthropoda; Insecta; Hymenoptera; Apidae.